GGGGGUGUACCGGUUUCGACGGGGUCGCGCUCCUUUGGAAAGCGGGUGGAGGAUUCUCGUUGGCCUCCUUAAAAAACGGGAAACGCAAGUAAUUGCAAACGAUACACAGCUUGUAGCAGCUUAAUUUAGCUACCGUCUCGUUUCCUGAUCUGCAGGGAAACAGGAGACGCUGCCUGCAGACCUUACCUGCUGGAGGUUAAACAGGGACACUUUCGCCUGAAAGCUUUGACAGGUGAUCGUAUCUAUGAAGCUACCGGACCUGUCGCCUGUCAGCGGGCAAUACAGGAAGGGGAAUACUUCAUCCACUGACUGCACCCGGAGACGUCCUUAGGAAAACGGUUUCGGACAGGGGUUCAAUUCCCCUCACCUCCACCA
RNAcentral lists this transfer-messenger RNA (375 nucleotides) under Clostridiales bacterium. It matches the Rfam family "transfer-messenger RNA". From Rfam's summary of the family: Bacterial tmRNA, also known as 10Sa RNA or SsrA, is named for its dual tRNA and mRNA-like properties. Its role is to liberate the mRNA from a stalled ribosome. RNAcentral also lists the same sequence under 1 other name. The record is from RNAcentral. Lineage: Bacteria; Bacillati; Bacillota; Clostridia; Eubacteriales.